UACGAAGGGAGCUAGCGUUGUUCGGAAUUACUGGGCGUAAAGGGCGCGUAGGCGGUUAUCUAAGUCAGAUGUGAAAGCCUUGGGCUUAACCUGAGAAUUGCAUUUGAUACUGGAUAACUAGAGAUCGAGAGAGGUAAGUGGAAUUACGAGUGUAGAGGUGAAAUUCGUAGAUAUUCGUAAGAACACCAGUGGCGAAGGCGGCUUACUGGCUCGAUACUGACGCUAAGGCGCGAAAGCGUGGGGAGCAAACAGGAUUAGAAACCCGAGUAGU
RNAcentral lists this ribosomal RNA (271 nucleotides) under uncultured bacterium. RNAcentral's name for it is "partial 16S ribosomal RNA". It matches the Rfam family "Bacterial small subunit ribosomal RNA", at positions 524 to 794 of the family's 1533-position model. The record is from RNAcentral.